This 416-nucleotide unclassified non-coding RNA is filed under the name soil metagenome. RNAcentral describes it as "partial contains 5.8S ribosomal RNA, internal transcribed spacer 2, and large subunit ribosomal RNA". The stretch from base 1 to 120 matches the Rfam family "5.8S ribosomal RNA", at positions 35 to 154 of the family's 154-position model. The record is from RNAcentral.
GAUGAAGAACGUAGCGAAAUGCGAUAAGUAAUGUGAAUUGCAGAAUUCAGUGAAUCAUCGAAUCUUUGAACGCACCUUGCACUCCUUGGUAUUCCGAGGAGUACGCCUGUUCGAGUGUUAUGAAGCUCUCAAAACGCAAUUGGCUUAAAACCUGAUUGUUGUUUUGGAUUUGAACUUUGCCGUGUUAUAACGGCUGGUUUUAAAAGUAUUAGCUGGUACUAGAACGAAUUGGUUCUACUCAACGUGAUAAUUAUCUGAUCGUUGAGGACAUUCCUUUCACGAGGAAUGGCCAUAGUAAAUUCAAUGGACUGCUUCUACUCUGGCUUUAAUUCUUUAUUGGAUUAACCACUUUUCAAAUCUGACCUCGAAUCAGGUGGGACUACCCGCUGAACUUAAGCAUAUCAAUAAGCGGAGGA